RNAcentral lists this ribosomal RNA (468 nucleotides) under uncultured bacterium. Its description in RNAcentral is "partial 16S ribosomal RNA". It matches the Rfam family "Bacterial small subunit ribosomal RNA", at positions 28 to 507 of the family's 1533-position model. The record is from RNAcentral.
GACGAACGCUGGCGGCGUGCUUAACACAUGCAAGUCGAACGGAAAGGCCCUGCUUUUGUGGGGUGCUAGAGUGGCGAACGGGUGAGUAACACGUGAGUAACCUGCCUUUGAGUUUGGGAUAACUUCUGGAAACGGGGGCUAAUACCGGAUAGGAGCUCCUGCUGCAUGGUGGGGGCUGGAAAGUUUCGGCGGUGUGGGAAGGACUCGCGGCUGCUGAGUAUUUAGGUGGGGUAGUGGUUAACGAAGGCCUAGACGGGUAGCCGGCCUGAGAGGGUGACCGGCCACAGUGGGACUGAGAUGCGGCCCGGAGGCCUACGGGAGGCAGCAGUGGGAGAUAUUGCACAAUGGGCGGAAGCCGUAUACAGCAACGCCGCGUGGGGGAGGACGGCCUUCGGGUUAGAAACCGUGUGCGCCUGGAACGAUGCGAGAGUGACGGUAAUGUGUAAGGAAGCACCGGCUAACUACGUG